This 406-nucleotide ribosomal RNA is filed under the name uncultured bacterium. Its description in RNAcentral is "bacterial SSU rRNA". It matches the Rfam family "Bacterial small subunit ribosomal RNA", at positions 370 to 772 of the family's 1533-position model. The record is from RNAcentral.
AAUGGACGCAAGUCUGACCCAGCCAUGCCGCGUGCAGGAUGACGGCCCUAUGGGUUGUAAACUGCUUUUGUACGGGAAAAAACCCCCAGUCGUGUAUUGGGGCUGAUGGUACCGUAAGAAUAAGCAUCGGCUAACUCCGUGCCAGCAGCCGCGGUAAUACGGAGGAUGCAAGCGUUAUCCGGAUUCAUUGGGUUUAAAGGGUCCGCAGGCGGAACUGUAAGUCAGGGGUGAAAUCCUACGGCUCAACCGUAGAACUGCCCUUGAUACUGCUGUUCUAGAGUACAGUUGAGGUGGGCGGAAUGUGUCAUGUAGCGGUGAAAUGCAUAGAUAUGACACAGAACACCGAUCGCGAAGGCAGCUCACCAAGCUGUAACUGACGCUCAGGGACGAAAGCGUGGGGAUCAAA